CAGUCGCCGCGGUAAUACAGAGGGUGCGAGCGUUAAUCGGAUUUACUGGGCGUAAAGCGUGCGUAGGCGGCUAAUUGAGUCGGAUGUGAAAUCCCCGAGCUUAACUUGGGAAUUGCAUUCGAUACUGGUUAGCUAGAGUGUGGGAGAGGAUGGUAGAAUUCCAGGUGUAGCGGUGAAAUGCGUAGAGAUCUGGAGGAAUACCAUGGCGAAGGCAGCCAUCUGGCCUAACACUGACGCUGAGGUACGAAAGCAUGGGGAGCAAACAGGAUUAGAUACCCCCGUAGUCCCUGUCUCUUAUACA
RNAcentral lists this ribosomal RNA (301 nucleotides) under uncultured bacterium. Its description in RNAcentral is "partial 16S ribosomal RNA". It matches the Rfam family "Bacterial small subunit ribosomal RNA", at positions 509 to 808 of the family's 1533-position model. The record is from RNAcentral.